RNAcentral lists this ribosomal RNA (427 nucleotides) under uncultured bacterium. Its description in RNAcentral is "bacterial SSU rRNA". It matches the Rfam family "Bacterial small subunit ribosomal RNA", at positions 355 to 774 of the family's 1533-position model. The record is from RNAcentral.
UGGGGAAUUUUGGACAAUGGGCGCAAGCCUGAUCCAGCCAUGCCGCGUGCGUGAAUAAUGCCUUCGGGUUGUAAACCGCUUUUGUCAGUGAAGAAAUCCUUUGAGCUAAUACCUCGGGGGGAUGACAGUACCUGAAGAAUAAGCACCUGCUAACUACGUGCCAGCAGCCGCGGUAAUACGUAGGGUGCAAGCGUUAAUCGGAAUUACUGGGCGUAAAGCGUGCGCAGGCGGUUAUGCAAGACAGAUGUGAAAUCCCCGGGCUCAACCUGGGAACUGCAUUUGAUACUGCAUAGCUGGAGUACGGCAGAGGGGGAUGGAAUUCCGCGUGUAGCAGUGAAAUGCGUAGAUAUGAGGAGGAACACCGAUGGCGAAGGCAAUCCCCUGGGCAUGAACUGACGCUCAUGAACGAAAGCGUGGGGAGCAAACA